RNAcentral lists this long non-coding RNA (1020 nucleotides) under Ornithorhynchus anatinus (platypus). RNAcentral's name for it is "lncRNA (ENSOANG00000047864.1)". Lineage: Eukaryota; Metazoa; Chordata; Mammalia; Monotremata; Ornithorhynchidae. The record is from RNAcentral.
UCUGACUGUUAUGGAACUGAUUUACAGGAGACAGGACUAUUGCAAGGACAAAUAGUAGACCUGAAUUUGUAGAAUGAAAAAGGAAACUGCCUCCAUAAGCUUGAAUUAAUGGAGCUUGACCCAAGUAAAAUAUCAGGUAUGCAGGAUACUCUUUUUCAGUCAUUAAAAGAAAAAAAAAUGGGGAGUAAAACGCAAGACCAUAAAACUUCAGCUGAGUUGUUUUGAGUUGUUUUUUUUUUUUCUACUCACUCAUUUCUCUCAAGCUGCAGGUGAAAGAUUGAUUCUGGGGAGUAGAUGGCAAGAGUCAGGUUGGCUCUGUUCUGUGCUCAUCUGUGCUCAUUACCCAUAAUGACAUUUUUCUUAGCACAGGAAAUUGUGCCAUGAACGGCUUCACCCCAGGCAAGGACCCCAGCCCCGGAGACUGGUGACAUCACAAUGCCAAGUGUUCCACAACAGAACAGGGUUGGGGAGGCGUGGGGGGGGGGGGCAAUCACUGGGCAGCAACCUGCCCUUGGCUGAGACUCGAUAAAGUUUCCCAGGUGGAAGAUGUAGAAUCGAGGGGCUCCUGCUUUCCCUGGAAAAUGCUCUGUGGACAGAGCAGCAUUACCUCAGAUCUUCUUUGUUCUGUCCCAACUUUACAGGUGGAGGGCGACAUGACCUCCUCAACUGCCCCACCAUCCAGGACUGUUUUCCCUGCCUUCUGUUGAUGUGGAAGGGUAUGAUAGCAGGAGUGAAGCUAAAUCUUCAGUUGCUCCUCCUAGGCUGCCUCCAGAAAACACUAUUACGCUGAAUGCCAGAGCACUUCCUGCCUGUAAGCAAAGCAAAUCCCGUCCCUCUAGACUGUGUCUGUUUCCCCCUUUAGACCGUGAGCUCGCUGUGGGCAGGAAUGUGUCUGUUUGUUAUUCUAUUGUACUCUCCCAAGUGCUUCUUACUACAGUGCUUUGCACACAGUAAACACUCAGUAAAAAUGAUUCAUUGAAUGAGUAAAUGAAUGAAGAUUCCCCCAAAAUGAGAUGCCAA